CGUAGGUGGCAAGCGUUGUCCGGAUUUAUUGGGUUUAAAGGGUGCGUAGGCGGUCUUAUAAGUCAGUGCUGAAAUCUCCCGGCUUAACCGGGAGGGUGGCAUUGAUACUGUAGGACUCGAGUAAAGUUGAGGUUGGCGGAAUUGACGGUGUAGCGGUGAAAUGCUUAGAUAUCGUCAAGAACACCGAUAGUGUAGACAGCUAACUAAGCUUUAACUGACGCUGAGGCACGAAAGUGUGGGGAUCAAACAGGAUUAGAUACCCUGGUAGUCCACACUGUAAACGUUGAAGACUCGCUGUUGGCGAUACACAGUCAGCGGCUGAGAGAAAUCGUUAAGUCUUCCACCUGGGGAGUACGCCGGCAACGGUG
This 368-nucleotide ribosomal RNA is filed under the name uncultured organism. RNAcentral describes it as "bacterial SSU rRNA". It matches the Rfam family "Bacterial small subunit ribosomal RNA", at positions 526 to 896 of the family's 1533-position model. The record is from RNAcentral.